This 1682-nucleotide unclassified non-coding RNA is filed under the name Apis dorsata (giant honeybee). RNAcentral describes it as "innexin inx7-like, transcript variant X2". The record is from RNAcentral. Lineage: Eukaryota; Metazoa; Arthropoda; Insecta; Hymenoptera; Apidae.
UACCGGAAGUUGAUCGAUGGAUGCCUAGAUCCGGAACCGAGGAAUUUUAACAGUGGAAACAGAUGAGAGAUUCGUGAUUUGGAGAGAUAGUUUGAGAUUAUUUCAAAGAAAUGACGACCGUUUUAGCUACGUUCUCGGUCCUCAAGGACCAUGUCAAGUGGAAGGUUUCGCAGGAUUCUGUGGCCAUUGAUAACUUGGUUUUUAAGAUGCACUAUAGAUUCACGUUUCUGAUGCUCUUGAUCGCUACGCUAUUGGUAACAGCUAGACAAUUUAUCGGAGAGCAUAUCAGGUGUAUCGCUGGGCAUGGAAUGAGCGAUGAUAUAGUGAAAGUAAUCAACACUUUCUGCUUUUUCACGUCUACUUACACUGUGACAAAACAUUUGAACAAAACAUCGGUGGAAUUAGGUGUAAUCGCACAUCCUGGCGUCGGACCAGCAACUUCAGAAGACUCCGUGGUACAUCAUGCCUACUACCAGUGGGUGCCCUUCGUUCUGUUUUUUCAGGCGAUCUUCUUUUACGCGCCUCACUACCUGUGGAGGAAUGUUGAAGGAGGCCGUUUAAAAGCGUUGGUUACUGGAUUGCAUACAGCGUCAAUGGCUCUUCGUGAGACAUCUCUGAAGACCGAGAAUGGUAUAAGCAUCAUGUCGAAGGACGAAUGCGACGACAAAAUACGUCAAAUUCGCCAUGCUUUUCUGAAUCGUAUUCAUUUGAAUCGACCAUGGGCGUAUUAUUUGGGCCUAUGCGAGGUUCUCAAUUUCAUCAACGUUCUUUUGCAAAUAUAUCUGACCGACUGGUUUCUCGGAGGUGCUUUUCUCGGUCUUGGACAAAUGUUGGCACAUUAUGGAUCCGAAGAAGGUCAAGUCGAACCUCUCGAUAUCGUGUUUCCUAAGGUAACUAAAUGUAUCUUUCACAAAUACGGUCCAUCAGGAACUAUACAAAACCACGAUGCUCUGUGCAUCAUGGCAUUGAACAUCAUUAACGAGAAGAUCUAUGUGUUCCUUUGGUAUUGGUACAUCAUUCUCUCUGUGAUAACCGGUUUAGGAUUGCUCUGGAGGUUACUUACUAUGGCGUUGCAUGCCAGGAGUGAACUAUUCAACAAGUUAGUGUUCUCCAUGGCUUGUCCUGGGAAAUAUAAUCCGUGGAACGUGCUGGCCGUUACUCAUGAGUGCCACUAUGGGGAUUGGGUAUUUCUUUAUUAUAUAGCGAAGAACUUGGAUAACUAUAUAUUCAGAGAACUGUUGGUGAAACUUGCCGGUGAUCUGGAAGAAAGACGUCAAACUAUAUACAAUAUGUCUAACGAAGAGAAACCGUUAAACGAUAAAGAGAAUUAAUUAUAACUCGUCUACGCAUAAUGAACGUCCAGAGACUUGGAGACCACGUGUGCAUGGAUAAUGAGGUUAACGUGCACUCAUCGAGUAAGGUAUUUACACAUCGGACCGACUCGGAUUCAACGUGACCAAGUGUGCCCUUACAAGUCCCAGCCUUUUCCUUCUUUCUAUCUACGAACAUGGAUUCUAUUCAACGUAUCCUUGGUUACUAGUAAUUUUCACUCGCUAUUUAGAUAACAAUUUUAUAAUUGUUCAAUUUACAAUUGCUAACAUUAUCGUUGUAUCAUUAUACAUUAAUGGAAAAGAGAAGGAAUGAAUGAAUUCUAUUCUAGUUCGAAGAACAAAGAAAUACAA